GCACCCGUAGCUCAGCUGGAUAGAGCGUUGCCCUCCGAAGGCAAAGGUCGUACGUUCGAAUCGUAUCGGGUGCGCCA
Molecule: transfer RNA, 77 nt
Filed under: Dongia soli
Lineage: Bacteria; Pseudomonadati; Pseudomonadota; Alphaproteobacteria; Rhodospirillales; Dongiaceae
Also listed under: 9 other names
Description: tRNA-Arg
Rfam family: tRNA
About the family: Transfer RNA (tRNA) molecules are approximately 80 nucleotides in length. Their secondary structure includes four short double-helical elements and three loops (D, anti-codon, and T loops).
Source: RNAcentral